GAUGAACGCUGGCGGCGUGCCUAAUACAUGCAAGUCGAGCGAACAGACGAGGAGCUUGCUCCUCUGACGUUAGCGGCGGACGGGUGAGUAACACGUGGAUAACCUACCUAUAAGACUGGGAUAACUUCGGGAAACCGGAGCUAAUACCGGAUAAUAUAUUGAACCGCAUGGUUCAAUAGUGAAAGACGGUUUUGCUGUCACUUAUAGAUGGAUCCGCGCCGCAUUAGCUAGUUGGUAAGGUAACGGCUUACCAAGGCAACGAUGCGUAGCCGACCUGAGAGGGUGAUCGGCCACACUGGAACUGAGACACGGUCCAGACUCCUACGGGAGGCAGCAGUAGGGAAUCUUCCGCAAAGGGCGAAAGCUUGACGGAGCAACGCCGCGUGAGUGAUGAAGGUCUUCGGAUCGUAAAACUCUGUUAUUAGGGAAGAACAAGUGUGUAAGUAACUAUGCACGUCUUGACGGUACCUAAUCAGAAAGCCACGGCUAACUACGUG
Molecule: ribosomal RNA, 497 nt
Filed under: uncultured bacterium
Lineage: Bacteria
Description: partial 16S ribosomal RNA
Rfam family: Bacterial small subunit ribosomal RNA
Source: RNAcentral